This 898-nucleotide ribosomal RNA is filed under the name uncultured archaeon. RNAcentral's name for it is "bacterial SSU rRNA". It matches the Rfam family "Archaeal small subunit ribosomal RNA", at positions 1 to 878 of the family's 1478-position model. The record is from RNAcentral.
CUCCGGUGAUCCUGCCGGACCCGACUGCUAUCGGAUUGAGAUUUAGCCAUGCGAGUCGAACGUUCCCCUGUUGCGGGGAGCGUGGCGUACGGCUCAGUAACACGUAGUCAACCUGCCCUGGAGACAAGGACAACCCCGGGAAACUGGGAUUAAUCCUUGAUAGGUCAUCUCAUCUGGAAGGAGAGAUGGCUUAAAGGGGUACGCGGGCUUCUUCCGCGAAUUCGCUCCAGGAUGGGACUGCGUCCGAUCAGGCUGUUGGCGGGGUAAUGGCCCACCAAACCUGUAACCGGUACGGGCCUUGAGAGAGGUGGCCCGGAGAUGGACACUGAGAGAAGGGUCCAGGUCCUACGGGGCGCAGCAGGCGCGAAACCUUCGCAAUGCGCGAAAGCGUGACGAGGUUAAUCCGAGUGACUCCCGCUGAGGGGGUCUUUUGUCAGCUGUAAAUAGGCAGGCGAAUAAGGGGAGGGCAAGCCUGGUGUCAGCCGCCGCGGUAAUACCAGCUCCUCGAGUGGUCGGGGCGAUUAUUGGGCCUAAAGCAUCCGUAGCCGGUUCCGUAGGUCCUCUGUUAAAUCCAACCGCUCAACGGUUGACCUGCAGAGGAUACCGCGGGACUAGGAGGCGGGAGAGGCGGACGGUACUCCGCGUGUAGGGGUAAAAUCCUUUGAUCCGCGGAAGACCACCAGUGGCGAAGGCGGUCCGCCAGAACGCGCUCGACGGUGAGGGAUGAAAGCUGGGGGAGCGAACCGGAUUAGAUACCCGGGUAGUCCCAGCCGUAAACGAUGCUAGCUAGAUGAUUCAUUCGCAAGUCGCGAAUGAAGUGUCGCAGGGAAGCCGUUAAGCUAGCCGCCUGGGGAGUACGGUCGCAAGACUGAAACUUAAAGGAAUUGGCGGGGGAGCA